AAUCCAUAGGUUAAUGAGGCGAACCGGGGGAACUGAAACAUCUAAGUACCCCGAGGAAAAGAAAUCAACCGAGAUUCCCCCAGUAGCGGCGAGCGAACGGGGAGGAGCCCAGAGCCUGAAUCAGCAUGUGUGUUAGUGGAAGCGUCUGGAAAGGCGCGCGAUACAGGGUGACAGCCCCGUACACAAAAGCGCAUGUGCUGUGAGCUCGAUGAGUAGGGCGGGACACGUGGUAUCCUGUCUGAAUAUGGGGGGACCAUCCUCCAAGGCUAAAUACUCCUGACUGACCGAUAGUGAACCAGUACCGUGAGGGAAAGGCGAAAAGAACCCCGGCGAGGGGAGUGAAAAAGAACCUGAAACCGUGUACGUACAAGCAGUGGGAGCCCCACCACCAAAGCGUUUCGCUUUGUGUGGUGCACAAAGAAGCGUAACGACAGCACUGAAUGACGGUUAACGGAGCGCAAGCGACGUUCAACAUACAAAGUCAAGCAGUGGAGCGCUUUGGGGUGGGGUGACUGCGUACCUUUUGUAUAAUGGGUCAGCGACUUAUAUUCUGUAGCAAGGUUAACCGAAUAGGGGAGCCGGAGGGAAACCGAGUCUUAAUUGGGCGUUAAGUUGCAGGGUAUAGACCCGAAACCCGGUGAUCUAGCCAUGGGCAGGUUGAAGGUUGGGUAACACUAACUGGAGGACCGAACCGACUAAUGUUGAAAAAUUAGCGGAUGACCUGUGGCUGGGGGUGAAAGGCCAAUCAAACCGGGAGAUAGCUGGUUCUCCCCGAAAGCUAUUUAGGUAGCGCCUCGUGAAUUCAUCUCCGGGGGUAGAGCACUGUUUCGGCUAGGGGGCCAUCCCGGCUUACCAACCCGAUGCAAACUGCGAAUACCGGAGAAUGUUAUCACGGGAGACACACGGCGGGUGCUAACGUCCGUCGUGAAGAGGGAAACAACCCAGACCGCCAGCUAAGGUCCCAAAGUCAUGGUUAAGUGGGAAACGAUGUGGGAAGGCCCAGACAGCCAGGAUGUUGGCUUAGAAGCAGCCAUCAUUUAAAGAAAGCGUAAUAGCUCACUGGUCGAGUCGGCCUGCGCGGAAGAUGUAACGGGGCUAAACCAU
This 1104-nucleotide ribosomal RNA is filed under the name Salmonella enterica subsp. enterica serovar Weltevreden. RNAcentral's name for it is "partial 23S ribosomal RNA". It matches the Rfam family "Bacterial large subunit ribosomal RNA", at positions 161 to 1190 of the family's 2925-position model. The record is from RNAcentral. Lineage: Bacteria; Pseudomonadati; Pseudomonadota; Gammaproteobacteria; Enterobacterales; Enterobacteriaceae.